GGGCAUUUAGUACAGAGGUUGGGCGCACGCUUUACAUGAUACUCUGAGCCGAAGUCGAUUGCUUGCGUGAUGUUGAGAGUUCAAUCCUCUCAAUGUCCA
Molecule: non-coding RNA, 99 nt
Organism: Mycena floridula
Lineage: Eukaryota; Fungi; Basidiomycota; Agaricomycetes; Agaricales; Mycenaceae
Source: the annotation of a GenBank genome assembly